GUCCUGCAAGAACGGGUUAGGAACACCCUGGGGCCCGGAGAGGCGCCUGACCCCGCGAAGGCGUGAACGAAGCUGAGACCGCGCCCGGCCGCGCCGGGGUCGGCGGAAAGCACUCUGGGAUUUGCGGCCUGGUUGCGGUGGCACUUCCUCCUUCGCAUCACCUAGCGCGGUGGUUUUCAAUCUAGGCUGCAGAUACAUUUAAAAGAGAUUUCCCGCCCUUAAACAGAGUCCUGGGUUAAUUUAGCCGAGAAGCGCAUUCGUUUUCCCUCCGGGCGGGUUUGUGCAGUGCGUCAUUCCGGCCAGCAGGAGGCAGCAGCACCCAAGGAGCUGCGUGAGGGCUCGCGCGGGGCUGCUCGAAACCUGGGGCCGCGCACCGCGCCCGAGCCGCCUCUGGGCUUCGAAAGCGCGGUGUUUUGUGGGUCUCGUGCCCGGCUGCGGCCGCAAAGCCUGGCCCGUGAGUCCCAGGAGAGCAUGCGGGGUGCAGGCGACGUCGGGCCGACACAGCUGCACCUACCCGAGUGCGGCGGCGGCGGCUCGCUCGUCCGAAAGCGCGGCCCUUCCGGCCGAGUCUUCCUAGCUCAGGACCCGGCACACUGACGCGGCGAGGGGGCUGCAUCCCGCUGCUGACUGGGUCCCGGCCGGCGGUUGUCCGGUGCACGCCGCGGUGAGUUGCUGACCCGAAGUCGCUGCAAUGGGCUGUUGGCCGGCAGUGCUGCUCUUCCCAGGGCCAGCGAGACCCGGGAGGUGACCCAGCUCGGCUGCCUUCCGGGCCGCGGGCACGGCCUGCUAAGCUGGUGGAUGAGCCCACACCGGGAAAGGCUGGCGUACCGCCACGACGGCGACUUGGAUCUUGGCUCGACUCCUUCCAGGCUCACUGGAUGACCCGUGCGGACAGUGAAGUGACAAGAGCAGGCCACCUUGCUAACUAAGGCCACGGGCAUGUGCUGCAUCCACACUGAAGGAUGCUCCCGCUGGCCUCAGCCACAUUACAACCUGAGGGGUGGCGAGCCUUGCAGGCCCGGGGCUCCUCCCUAUGUGUGCAGUAAGCUGGUUUCUCGAGAAGCACACCUCCGAGCAGCGCCGUGCAACAGAAACGGCAUGCAAGCCAGUGUGCAUCUGAAAUCCUCUACUGGCCAUGUUGAAAAAGCAGUAGGUGCAGGCGAAAUGAGUUUUAAUAAGUUUUAUUGAACCCACAUACCCUCAGUAGUAUCAUUUAACAUGAAACCAAACUUUAAAACAUGACUGGAAGGGUCUGAAAUGUGGCACGCACGUCACACUCAGGGGUCUUCCAAUCCGGAGUGUGACACCGAAGUUAAGUGUCUGGAGGUCACACCUGGCUGGUGGCCAUGGUACUGGGCAGUGUUGGUGCAGGGAACUCAAAACAGAGAACCCCAAGUAGACCUGGGCAUUCACCAGAAAGUAACAGGGAGAAUCACGGAAAUGACUACAAGAUGCCACGGCGUUAACCUAAAGACCAAAAUAUCUGCAGAGAGCUGGUCUGGGAAAAGGCUUAAAUGAAAACAAGGUUAAAUUUCGAUUCAAAUAGGCUCUGUUACACAAGAGUAAAACUCACUUAAGGUGGCCCAGGACGUCCUGUGGAGCCAAGAGGUGGCAAGUUCUGGCUCACAUGUUGCUUCUGCAGGUCUAUAGGAUGGGGCUCUGGAGUGAUGAGCCAGGUCUUCCAAAAUCCAUGAAUGACGCAUCUUACCAGCGAUUGCAGACAGCUUUCUGGCAUCCAGACUUUGCACUGUGCUCACCUCUGACGUCCUGUGCACCCCUCGUCCUUGGCCAGUCUGUCCCCCCAGGCAGACACAGAGUGCUCUGCUUGGGACUCACUAAACAGACUCCGUGCACGCCUCUGAGGAGCGGACAGCCCUGCACAGCGAUGGUGGAGCUCUUGCUCAGUGCUGCAUGCCUGGACCUCGAGCCGUGAUCAGCAGUCAGAAGAGCAGCCAUGCUGUGCUGGGUGCUGCCCUGAAGGGCUGUGAAGGGAGGACCUCAGGAGGCUCAGAUUCCUCGCUCUCAAGUCUACUCCGCCCCAUCUGAGCUGAGCCACCCUGUAUGCGAGAGAGUGAUGGACAGCCACACCCAGAGAAGCAAGGGAGAUGGAGCCUGCAGUGAGGGACUAAGAAGAGAAGCAGGAGGCAGUGUGCAGUGACACCUCGCUUCGUGGAUGCUUCCGUCUGUAAACACUUUGCUUUGCAAACAGAACUGACUGGCAAAAUUUUGCUUAUGUUCUCGAACUCCUCAUAGGUGCCAAACAUGACCAUGGCCAUUUUCUGCUCUGACACAUGGUCGUGGCUUCCUCUAGUCGAGAUCGCAGUCACAGAUAGACCUGUGCACACUUGCUGUGAGGCUUUUGUGUGUUUUAGCACAUACAGUACUCUACAGUGUUAUUCAGUCCAGCAUGGCUCCAAAGAAACUGCAGAGGUAAAAAGAGAGUGCAGAGCAAUAAUGAAGGUAACAAGAAAGUGCAGAGCAAGAAUGGCAAGAAGGUUUUGAAGAAAUAACCAUUGAGUUGAAGGACGCUGUGGACAAGCAUGAGCAUGGUAUCCUUAUGACUGAUCUGGCCUCAGAGCACACGAUGGCGAAGUCCACAGCCUCGACUGUCUUGAAGAAUAAAAACACCAUCAAAGGAGCUGACGUGGCCAAAGGAGUAAUGAUGUUAACCAAGUAGAGGACACAAGUGCUGGAAGAGGUGGAAAAGCUUUUGUCAGUGUGGCUGAGUGAGAAUCAGCUGGCAGGUGAUAGUGUUAGGAAGCUAUGGUCUGUGAAAAGCCAGGAAAUUGCACAGCGGUCUACUGUAAGAAAUCCCUCUACACCUCUACAAGUGCAACAGGUGAGGGAUCUAGAGCCUGUAGAGGGUGGUUUGAUAAAUUCUGCAAGGGAAGUGUCUGUGAUAAGACAUGGUGAGGCUUCUGGUUCUGACAAGGCCUCCACAGAAGCCUACAGGAAAGAAUUCGCAGAACUCAUGAAGACAGAAGGAUAUGUCAAGCAACAAGUGUUUAACUCUGAUGAAACAGGGCUUUUGUGGAAGAAGAUGCUGAGCAGAACCUAUGACAUACAGGAGGAAAAGGCACCGCUGGGGCACAAGCCCAUGAAGGACAGACUGACCCUUGUGCCUGUGCGAAUGCAAGCCCCAAUCUGAAGAUUAGGCCACUACUGGUGCACCAUCCCCAGACCCCUCGGCAUUCAAGGGACAGUGUGGACAAGGCCAGGCUGCCUGUCGUGUGGAGGCUAGUGGCGAAGCCUGGGCCACAGGGCAACUGUUUAUGGAAGGGCUGCACAAGGUGUUCUCACCCACCAUUAAGCAAUAUCUUUCUGGCAACCAGCUGCCUGAAGGUGCCUCCUUCAGAUGGACAGAGCCCGGCAACCUCCAGCCUUGGCAGAUGACAUGGACGCUGAGUAUGACUUUAUGACGGUCAAGUUCCUCCCCUACACGACACCUCUUCUGCAGCCUUAGGCCAGCAAAUGACCCAUAACUUCAAGAAGCUGUGCACAGGGUGCUCUUCACCAGGUGUUUUAAUGUCACUGAAGAGACAUCCCUGACUGGAAGAAUUCCAGAAGAAACAUUUCUCCCCACCGCAUCAGGCUCCCUGACACAGCCUGAGAAGAUGUCACGUACCGGACCUUCAACUCAGCCUGGAGGACACCGGCCAGAACGCGUCACUGGGUGUGACUGUGAAGGGUCUGAGGCACAGGUGUGGAGGGAUUGUGCCCACGGGCAAGAGUGUGGGUCUGGACGCCGAUGGUGCAGACGUGGAGGGGACCAAAGGAGGAGCUGACGCGGGAAGCACUUGCUGAACCGCUGAGUGAGCAGCAGAAGGCGCCUGCCGAGGAGCCCUGCGCCGAGAGGGGGCUGGGAGGAGGCCGGCAGUGACGUGACAAACUUCACCCUGGAAAAUGGAACGAGGGCUGGUUCUUGAGAAGCCCCGCCCCGACAUGGCCUCUCAACACAGGCCCUCUCGUUCCCGGGGGUUGCGCAGCACAGGAAAAACACUGACAUUAGAGAGAUUUCUCCCGUCAACACCGACCCUGCAGCUAAGAGAGAAAGAAGAGGACUCCCCCGACGGAGGUCUCCCCAGUGCCUCAUGGAGGGGCCCACCCUCCAAAUAAUACCCUCCUUCCUGUCCUGCGCGCCAGGAGUCUCCAAGCAAGUGCCUUCAGGGCCCCAGUGACGCCGUGGUGACCACGUGCCUGUAACAGAGCCUUGCUACACCCCUCGGUGCCUCACCACCCACUCCUUCACUUUCCUUCUCCCCAUUUCCAUUCCCAUCACCCUUGGGCUCUUAGAAGUCAGCCCUAGAAGGAAAAUCAGUAGGUCCCACACUUGGGCUCACCGGCUCGGUGGUGAAACCUCACGGCGUAUUCAUAACACCACCUGGAGCACAAGUCCUGGAGAAAGCACAAGUUCUGUAGCCAGGUAAGCCGGAGAACCCUGCCUCCAAUCCCUCUAGAUGGGGAGUCCUGCCGGUGAAUAGCUGUGACACUGUCCACCUCGGGAUUCCGAAGAACUAAGAGACUGCAGGUGUCUUUUCUUUCUCACCAACAGCUAUGAAAACCCUACAGGACUCUUCUGAGAAGCAGACACCGGGAGAGUUAGCAUUUCAGAUUUCUUUAUGUCAGUUGCCAUGGUCUUCUACCACACGGCUCCAAGCUUCGUUCCCUACUAUGCCUCCAUGUGUCCUCCAGCUUUCCAAAAGCCUCCCGCCCUUCACGACUGCAGACCUCAGAGGUGCUGCCCCUUCUCACUGGCCACUUGGCUGGGCCGACCGCCAUCCUUGCCCCUGCCUGUGCACGCUCUCUUCAGUCACCAAGACUCAGCUCAGCUCCUCCCUCCUGCACAGGGCCUCCUGGUGAAUCUCCAUCCUGGGAACUACCAAUUUUGUUGGCUGUCUGGUACUCCCCUUUGGAAAACACCACAUCAUUCCUUGCGGUCUUGUUCCACAGAGUUCCUGAAGCUUCUGUGUCCUCAAUAAUUCUCGAGGGCUUAUGUUGUGACUCCUCAUUUAGCCCUAGGACACAGGGAGCAUAUCCCAGGUUCCCUCAGUCCCCUGUCCUGGUGCAGGGCCCUGUACACGGUAGGCGCACAAUAGGUAACUGUCAGUUUGAAUAAUGUUUUUUGUGUUUUAAUCUUUCUCCAGCUGGUGUUACCUGGCUGGGCUGGUGGCCAUGGGACUCAGUCAUCUGGAGGGCAGAGUGGUGCUCAAGGCCGCGGAGUGGUUAGAGCCCUCCAGAGUGAGCUCCAAGGGGAGGGAAGCGAGGGCUCCAGAGGGAACUGGAGCUGAGAAUGGGAACUGAGAGUCCCAGCUUGUGGCCUGAAGGACGAGGCCCUGGCUCUAACUCCCCCGUCCCUGUGGGCCUCAAUCCCUGACAGAGAGUUGAGGGGCUGAGUGUCAGACUCUCCACAGCAACUGCUGACUGACCGUGUUCCCAUCGAGUGACCUGAGUCUACAGGUUGCCUGGGUCCAGAGGCUUCUACAGUGUCACUCAGACCUCGACAAGCAAGUGGAAGGGAGUGAAGCCAUCACAGGAACAACUGCAAAUCUGCUCCCGUUCAUCAAGGGGGGAAUUCCUCCCUCGUUAUUCGUAGUCACAAAGCACGCAUGAUCCGUUCAUGGCUCCACAGCUAUGCCUUCACCAUGUCUGCCAGCUCUUCCAGGGUGCUGGCAUCACCAGGAUCGUCCGGAGGGCCCAGCCACAGAGCGUGGUCAGUAGGACUGGCACAGGGAUCGAGACCCUGCUUCUCUGACGAGUUUCCAAGUGAUGCUGAUUUUGCUGGCCUGGCGGCCACCCUUGAAGAACACUGUUCAGGGUCUCCCUUACUCCAGCCCCCAGCCCUGGUUCCUGAAUCAAAUCUGUCCCUCCCGAGGUGGGCCUGCUUGGGGACUCCAGUGGCUUCACCAGUGGGGUUGCUUGAUGUCCAUCUCAGUCUCCCCCAUUCUUUCAUUGGAAAAAUGGACAACGGAGACUGAGGAAAUGCAGGAAAAAGGUACCAGAGCCACGGGCGAUCGAUGUGGUCGUUGUGACCCCUCACUCCCUCCUGCAGUGAUUCUGCUACAUUCUCUCUGCGGCAUCUGAUGAAGAAUCUGCUGUCGGUUUGAGGACACUACCUGCUACUUCCCAGCCUCUUUUUGGGAUCAACUGGGGAUACUUCAGAUAAGACGCUUCAACUAACAUCGUUACAACAAGGCCUGGCACGUAACAAAUACCCAACACAUUUACUGAGAUGCCGCCCUGGGCUUAGAGAUUGGAAGCCGAGUGCUUACCCCAAAUGUUUGGGCUCGGAUCCUGGCCGUGUUCACUGUCAGCUGCGUGACUUGGGCAAGUUAUCCGAGUUCUCGGUAACUCGGUCUCCUUGCCUGUACACUGGGGUUGAUAAUAACAGUGUGUCCAGGAAAACAGAGAUGAACUGAAUUCCUGUCUGCAAAAUCCUUAUGUCCAUGUCUGCCUCCUAAGAAGCACUGGGUAAAUAUGACUCAGUGACUGUGCAAACAGGAGCAGAGGGUGCUGAGAAGGCUGACCACACAGGCCGGGCCCUCUCCGGGGUUCUGGGCGCUUCUCUCCACCACCGAGGCUGCACUGAGAGGCAGAACACUCGGUGUGGGUGUGCAUGUGCGUGUGGGAGCUGGGUGAAGCCCAUCGUGUCCACCUCCCUAGCUCUGGCCAGAAGAAGCCCUCUUAGCUUUGCCCCCGUGAAGUGGGCCUGCUGAUAGCAGCUGCUCCCGCAGGGUGGGUCCCGGGACGGCCUGUGUGAACCGCAGGAGGAGACCACAGGGCGGGGGCGGGUGGCCACUGUGUGUCCCACGCAGGUAGCCAUGAAGCAUGGAGCUGGCGCCUGGAUCAGGCUGGGCUCGUAAACUUGUUUUUCCAAAGCACCACACCUGUCAGGCCCAGGCCGAACGGCGCAGGUGGACAGAAAGCCUCUGAGAGUGGUCAGUGCCUGGACUCGGGGUCCAACACCCUCAUGUGCCAGUUUUCUUGCAUUUUUCUCUAAAUCCCAAAGGCCCUGAUGGCACUGGUUUUUGAACCAGUGUGUCAAAUGCACUUACACCGCCAAUGGGUUUCUUCUUGUUUAGCGACUCAUGCAUUUUGUAUGAAGCACCAUCUCCAGUUUCCUUUCGGGCUCUGGAGAGGAUGUCCUGCUCCUGUUAGGAUGCAGGAUGAUUCCUUUUUGUUUUUUUGGUACCAGGAUCGAACUCAGGUCCUUGCACUUGCGAGGCAGGCAGCGGAACCACUGAGCUAAAUCCCAGGCCCUGGAUGAUUGUUUUUUAAAGCAGGAACCUCCAGAGUCCGGCAGAUGGGUUCACUGUGCAUAUUAUGGACAUAGCAAGGGCCUGGAGCUGACGUUUUCACUGGGGCUCAUCUGAUACUUGAGAAACCUGCCUUGCAAGAAUUUCAAGAUAUUUCAGGGUUUCAUAGCAGCACCCAAAUCAUACACAUUACAUAUAUAUGCAUAUAUACACCACUGAGCCUGUUCUUUUACAAUUAUUUUUCUUUUUAAAAAUGACACUGGGCCGGGGAUUUAGCUCAGUGGUUUCGCCACCUGCUGCACAAGCACAAGGACCCGAGUUCGAUCCCCAGUGCCAAAAAAAAAAAAAAAAGAUACAUAUUUCCUUUUAGAAAAUGUAAAGCAUACAAAGAAUUUUUUCAAAUCACAUGGAAUUCUACCACUCAAGAGAUAACCACCGUUAGCAGCAGUGUCCUGUUCUUCUCCUGUGGGUGCCCAUUUCUUUUGCAAAGUGUGAUCAGGCUCAUGUUCCAUUUACACAGCAUCUGUAACUUUUUAAAGCUGUAGGUGGCUAGGCUGUGCAUAUGUAUUUUUUGGACAUGCUAUAAUUAGCCUGCAUUUGUCCUUACAACUGAAAGUAUAACUAGCCUGAUGAAAAUACAGGUGCUUCUAAGCUGGGCGUGGUGGUGCACAACUGUAAUUGCAACACUUUGGAGGCUGAGGCAGCACCAUUGCCCUGAGUUUAAGGCCAGCCUGGACUGCAUACAGAGACCCUGUCUUGGGGGUGGGGGAAGGAGCGAUGGAAGGAGGGAGGGAGAGAAGGAGGGAGCUGGGCACCGUGGUGCAUGCCUGUGAUCACCAGCUGAGGCGAAAGGAUUAAAGUUCCAGCAGCCGACAACUCAGGGAGACGCUGUCUCAAAGUGAGAGAGGAGGGAAGGGGUGGCAGAG
Molecule: long non-coding RNA, 8179 nt
Filed under: Heterocephalus glaber (naked mole-rat)
Lineage: Eukaryota; Metazoa; Chordata; Mammalia; Rodentia; Bathyergidae
Description: lncRNA (ENSHGLG00000050503.1)
Source: RNAcentral